AAGGUCCAGCUGCAGCAGUCUGGAACUGAGUUUGGGAGGUCUGGAGCCUCAGAGAAGUAGUCCUGCAAGUCUUCUGGUUACAAAUUCACCAACUAUUAUAUGCACCGGAUAGGGCAGAAUCGUGGAAAUAGCCUAGACUAGAUUGGAUAUAUUUAUCGUGGAAUUGGCCAUCCUGGCUAUGCCCACAACUUCAGGGAUAAGACCACACUGACUUCAGACAAAUCCUCUAGCACAGCCUACAUGGAAUUUCACAUCCAUUACUCCAGGAAUCUUCUUGGGGUAUCUCCCCAUGACGUAACUCA
Non-coding RNA from Mus musculus (house mouse), 302 nucleotides. The record is from the annotation of a RefSeq genome assembly. Lineage: Eukaryota; Metazoa; Chordata; Mammalia; Rodentia; Muridae.